AGGCAGCAGUGGGGAAUAUUGCACAAUGGGGGAAACCCUGAUGCAGCCAUGCCGCGUGUGUGAAGAAGGCCUUCGGGUGUAAAGCACUUUCAGUAGGGAGGAAGGUAGUGUAGUUAACACCUGCACUAUUUGACGUUACCUACAGAAGAAGCACCGGCUAACUCCGUGCCAGCAGCCGCGGUAAUACGGAGGGUGCGAGCGUUAAUCGGAAUUACUGGGCGUAAAGCGCAUGCAGGCGGCCUGUUAAGUCAGAUGUGAAAGCCCGGGGCUUAACCUCGGAAUUGCAUUUGAAACUGGCAGGCUAGAGUCUUGUAGAGGGGGGGUAGGAAUUUCAGGUGUAGCGGUGAAAUGCGUAGAGAUCUGAAGGAAUACCAGUGGCGAAGGCGGCCCCCUGGACAAAGACUGACGCUCAGAUGCGAAAGCGUGGGGAGCAAACAGGAUUAGAUACCCCUGGUAG
This 457-nucleotide ribosomal RNA is filed under the name uncultured bacterium. RNAcentral's name for it is "bacterial SSU rRNA". It matches the Rfam family "Bacterial small subunit ribosomal RNA", at positions 346 to 793 of the family's 1533-position model. The record is from RNAcentral.